GGACAAUUCCCCUCCGAGAUGUUGAUCCGCGCGCCACUCUCCUCGCGGAUCCUCUUAACCGACUCCCCUUUCUUCCCAAUGAUGCUUCCUACUUCCUUUCCGUGCAUAAGAAGCCGAAUGAGGAAGACAAACAUAAAGAUGAAGUGCUUAAUUCAAGGUCACACAAUGUCGGGGAUGGACCUCCAGAUUUCCUUACUGACCUGCAUUAUCUUGUGGAUACCUGAGUGAAUUCCACACCACCCAUUUUAUAGAUGAAACCACUGAGACAUGGAGCAAUUGACUGAGUAGUCACUGCCCCACCCCUGCCUGGAGCCUCACACAUGACUCGCCUCCUCUCAGUGACCACAGGUUGGUUGAGGGGUUUAACAAGGCUAAGAAGGUGAGACGUGGUCUUGUAACACAGUGGUUAAGAAUGUGACUUUGGAGCCAGCCUGCUAGGGGCUGAAUUCUGACUCAGCCAUUUACUAACUGUGUGACCUUAGGUCACAGAAUUUUCCACACUCCUUGACAGAGGUGCUUAACCCUUAUCCAUCAGCAUUCUCAGACAGCACCU
This 553-nucleotide long non-coding RNA is filed under the name Homo sapiens (human). RNAcentral's name for it is "PCBP1 antisense RNA 1". Lineage: Eukaryota; Metazoa; Chordata; Mammalia; Primates; Hominidae. The record is from RNAcentral.